This 68-nucleotide transfer RNA is filed under the name Scapholeberis mucronata. RNAcentral describes it as "tRNA-Leu". The record is from RNAcentral. Lineage: Eukaryota; Metazoa; Arthropoda; Branchiopoda; Diplostraca; Daphniidae.
UUUAACAUGGCAGAUUAGUGCCACAGAUUUAAGCUCUGUUUAAGGAGAUGCGAUCUCUCCUGUUAAAA